Paramisgurnus dabryanus is the source of this 2818-nucleotide non-coding RNA. NCBI's taxonomy places the organism in Eukaryota, Metazoa, Chordata, Actinopteri, Cypriniformes, Cobitidae. The record is from RefSeq and is a predicted model, not a curated record.
CUGCAUUCUAAAAGAAACCAUUACAAAAAUAAGGAAAAAUGAAUUUUACAAACUAUGUCAUAUGUUUUCUUUGUUUCCUAAAUAUAACUCUGAUUAGAAUGUCAAACAAAGAGAAAAUCAUCCGUAUUAAUCGUCAAUAUCGUUUAUAUUGUUAAUAUGAGCGUCUUUGCGUUAAAUUCGUGCUACACCACACCAUGCACUUAUAUCGACGUCGCAAUGCAAAAGAAGAAGGGCAAGAAAGAAACCUGUCCUGGUCUGGCGAUUUAAGGGGACAUUUGUUUAAGUCUAGAAAGAUGUUGGAGAAAAGACAUCAUCCUCUUCUAUAAUCUCCAUCUGUAAUUGGACUAACAACUGGACCAGUGAAUGCAGGCAACUUACUCUCCAUUCGACCUUGCAGGUCACACCAUGGUCUCAAGAGGGAAAAUGAGUGGAUUGAACAGAAAAAGGUGAAUCAAAACUCCAACCAUCUGUAUGAGGGUCUGGAUGGAUAAAGGAUGCCCACUGGAGCUGGAAAUGAUGGAUCAGGUGGAUCCACACUUGAACCAUCUGUAUGAUGAUCUGCACCCACUGGAUCUGUAAAUGGUGGUGCAGAAUUCUGGCCUGGUGUUUGGUCCCCCCUUUCUCUGGCUUGUGUCUCCAUCAUCAUUACACUCUUGUCAGUGUAAUAGUAUCGUCGUCUGCAUACCAGGACUUUGUUACUCAGCUGUCCCUUCUCCUUCAAGCUACAUUUUUGUCAAGCUGCAACAAGUUGGAAUACAUAAUUAUUAACGUUUAAUGAUUUUGAUGUAUGAAAUAUGUAACAAAAGCAAAAAAUGUAUAGACAUUCUAUUAAGAAAUUACCUUUUUGUUGUUUGUUUACUGACCUUUCAACCAUAUUGCAUUUAUAAUUGAUCAUCAUACCUUUGGUCUACUGUUAACAGGCUACUGUAGAAAACAAAGUCAAACAAAAAAGAGAGAAAAAAUUAUAAAUGCUGAAUGUGUCUCAUCUUAAAUACAUUGUUGUUGUUUUUGUUUCAUUGAAUUUGGAUGUUUUGAUGAUUUAAGGAAAAUUUACGUAGCAUAUAUAUUGAUGUUUUAAAUCAGAGUUUGUUAAUGACACUUAAUCAUUAACAAACAUUUAAAAAGCUUUAUUACAAUACUAAUUGAUAAUAUUCAUGUAAUAAUCUUGUUUUGUAACACCCUAAAUCACUGAGCGCACAAACGCUACCCCUGUUACAAGCAUGAGUGAUUGACUUCAGGCACACAUGCGCAGACAUUGAAGUACCGCGAGAGUGAUUCAAAAGCCCACGAAACAGUGUAAUCACGCGGUACUGUGAUGUCAUACUGGUUAAGGCUAAGCCACGUGAAGCCGGACACAAGGGCUACACUAAUCUUUGGGCUGGAGUAGCCUGGGCUUCGUGUCUCAUCGCGUUAAACGAUCGCAGAACGAUUUAUUUCUCUUUUUCACCUCGAUCUUUGGCCUCGUGUGAUUUACCAAAACCAACAUGUGAAGUUACAACGCUGACGAAGGAGUUUCAUCAGUAGAGUGUGUCCUGGAAAACGUGUGCUCGGAAACAUGCAGAAUACAGUAUUUACAGAGCCGACCUUGAGGCACCCACUGAUGGAUAAUCUGUUUACCUAAAAACAGCCCACCACAAUCCAUGUUUACCAGCUGUGGAAGUGCAGGCCAAAAAUCUUCCUUCACCUGUGGGCCUCUACCCACAUGUAGAUAAGCAUUUCAGGAGAAACCUGCCUGUGAUCUGCUAAGAUGCACAGAUUCAACUCUGGCCCAUUGUCAUCCCAACACCUCAUCUGCCAUCAGUUUCGUUUAGUGUCGGUCUAUUGCAAAAGUUCUUAUAAACUUUAAAUGAGACUUUGUGUUAAGCAGGGGUUUCCAAACUUUUCAUUCCACAACAUAUUAAGCCCAGGAUACACAGCAGGAUUUUUGCAAUCCAAUAAGACCUUAUCACACUGUGUGACAAGGAUUGUUUAAACUUCAGCAGUAGACUGUCGAUGAAGACACCUAUUGCAUCUGAAGCUGCGACAUCUGUCAUCAACAUGCGCUAGUGGUAAACAAAUACAGGUAUGCAGGUCGUAGAAGCAAACACAUUGUUGAUGUGCGUUGAUCAUGCUGAACUUCUUACACUGUCAUAAAACUAUCGUAGGUGUCUUUGGUCCCAGGACUGGGAAAACAGACGUCUUUAAACCUCUCACACUGUAUGAGAUAGGACCACCAAUUAAGAGCCACGAUCACAGAAAUCUCCACAAUUGUUUCACGAUUGGUAAUCUUUCAUCUGGGACAGCCAAAAAUCGUGCCGUGUAUUAUGGGCUUUAGACAGGUGUAAUCUUAUAGUAUAUCAAAACCAUUGCUAAUAAUUAAUUGGACAAACCAUCACUACAAUGCAACACUCACUAUCUUACGGUGCGACCCACAAGUGGGUCUUCACCCACAGUUUAAAAACCCUGAGUAUGAGAAAGAGUAUGUUGUAUUGUAAUUAAAGUCACAUCUAAGUGUUAUGGAACAGUUUGUCAUUAUAUUCAAAGUAUUACAUGGUUCUUUCAGCAGUUACUACGUUACAGUGCUCUUAAAGUGUCCUGAUCAGCUUUGGGUCUUGUGAAGUAAUAUAAUGAGAACGUGAUCAAUAGCUUUGCAGUAUUUUGUUACACUGUGGCUGUAAUCAUAUUAACACAUAGGUUAAACAUUUUAUUCAAAUUUGGUAAACAAACUAGUCAAUAUAAUUCAUGCUGUGAUGCUGGAUUAAACCUGGUCAAAUGAUUGUGUAUUGUGUUUUCAAUUUUUUAUGAGGUUUCUUCAUCUAUAUAAACAUUCUCAAUAUCA